Molecule: long non-coding RNA, 268 nt
Filed under: Trifolium pratense (red clover)
Lineage: Eukaryota; Viridiplantae; Streptophyta; Magnoliopsida; Fabales; Fabaceae
Description: long non-coding RNA (TPRA_LNC004435)
Source: RNAcentral
UUCUUUUAUGGAAAUGGACACAAGAUAGAGGAAGUGGGAUAUUAUGUGUUGUUAUAUCUCUUACUAUUGUUAUAUCUUAGUAUUUUAGAGGCAUCUUGGCUGUAUGAUGUAGUUUUUGUAUUGUUAUAUCUUGGGAUAUUAUGUGGUGUAAUAUCUUUGUAUUGUUAUACCGUAGUAGUGAUAAUUUAUUGGUUAUCUUUUGGAUUGAUUAUGUAUUUUUGGAUAAGUAGUUGACAAUAUACUUGAAUAUAAAUAUAUAUUAUGUUCA